CAAGUCGAACGAUGAUGCCCAGCUUGCUGGGUGGAUUAGUGGCGAACGGGUGAGUAACACGUGAGUAACCUGCCCCUGACUCUGGGAUAAGCGUUGGAAACGACGUCUAAUACUGGAUAUGAUCACUGGCCGCAUGGUCUGGUGGUGGAAAGAUUUUUUGGUUGGGGAUGGACUCGCGGCCUAUCAGCUUGUUGGUGAGGUAAUGGCUCACCAAGGCGACGACGGGUAGCCGGCCUGAGAGGGUGACCGGCCACACUGGGACUGAGACACGGCCCAGACUCCUACGGGAGGCAGCAGUGGGGAAUAUUGCACAAUGGGCGAAAGCCUGAUGCAGCAACGCCGCGUGAGGGAUGACGGCCUUCGGGUUGUAAACCUCUUUUAGUAGGGAAGAAGCGAAAGUGACGGUACCUGCAGAAAAAGCACCGGCUAACUACGUGCCAGCAGCCGCGGUAAUACGUAGGGUGCAAGCGUUGUCCGGAAUUAUUGGGCGUAAAGAGCUCGUAGGCGGUUUGUCGCGUCUGCUGUGAAAUCCCGAGGCUCAACCUCGGGCUUGCAGUGGGUACGGGCAGACUAGAGUGCGGUAGGGGAGAUUGGAAUUCCUGUGUAGCGGUGGAAUGCGCAGAUAUCA
RNAcentral lists this ribosomal RNA (628 nucleotides) under Curtobacterium sp. 190-3. Its description in RNAcentral is "SSU rRNA". It matches the Rfam family "Bacterial small subunit ribosomal RNA", at positions 58 to 699 of the family's 1533-position model. Lineage: Bacteria; Bacillati; Actinomycetota; Actinomycetes; Micrococcales; Microbacteriaceae. The record is from RNAcentral.